UACGUAGGGUGCGAGCGUUGUCCGGAAUUACUGGGCGUAAAGGGUGCGUAGGUGGUUUCUUAAGUCAGAGGUGAAAGGCUACGGCUCAACCGUAGUAAGCCUUUGAAACUGGGAAACUUGAGUGCAGGAGAGGAGUGUGGAAUUCCUAGUGUAGCGGUGAAAUGCGUAGAUAUUAGGAGGAACACCAGUUGCGAAGGCGGCUCUCUGGACUGUAACUGACACUGAGGCACGAAAGCGUGGGGAGCAAACAGGAUUAGAUACCCGGGUAGUCCCUGAG
RNAcentral lists this ribosomal RNA (277 nucleotides) under uncultured prokaryote. RNAcentral's name for it is "partial 16S ribosomal RNA". It matches the Rfam family "Bacterial small subunit ribosomal RNA", at positions 524 to 801 of the family's 1533-position model. The record is from RNAcentral.